This 1571-nucleotide long non-coding RNA is filed under the name Ananas comosus (pineapple). RNAcentral's name for it is "long non-coding RNA (ACOM_LNC015417)". The record is from RNAcentral. Lineage: Eukaryota; Viridiplantae; Streptophyta; Magnoliopsida; Poales; Bromeliaceae.
AGUUUCCACCUCCACCUCCGAGAAAGUUUACAUUAUCACACUUGCACUACGUCAUCAACCAGUAACAAGUCAAUUAUAUCUUCUUUUUUUUUUAAACAAAAAGGGUAAAAAAAAGAGGGUUAAAUGUCCCUGGAAACAUAGUAUCACACUGGCACUGCCACUACAACAGAAUUAGGUUAUAGGGACACAUGUUUGGGACACUUUUGAAUAAGUGUCUCAUUUAUGCUAAAACUUAAAAACACAUCUACUAAUGCCUAAAUAUAAAGCCCAAUCCAACUAAAAAUAAAAGAUUACUCUACUCAACCUACCACACUCAGUCCAUUUGGCCCGAUUACAAACGGAAAAGAAAAAAAAAAAGAAAAAUCAAUUAUCAUCCUUUCUUCUCUCUUCACUCAAUCCACUGAAAUUCUAGACGAAGAGCCUUUACUGUCGUCCUCCUCCGCCACCGCAACCAACGAGAUAGAGUUUCGACGGUUGCUAAAUGCUUAAAUAAGUGUUGAUAAAUUAGCAGCACUCUUUUAGGUUAUAGCGACACUCUGUAACUGUCACUAUAUAUCUAGCGACCCCACAUAUAGCAACACUUUUUAAAAGUGUCGGUAAUUUUAGCUAGCAGCACUUUUUUGAUAUGUACCUACAUUUAAAAGUGUCGCUAUAGACCGUUUUUGUUGUAGUGUACGGCUUCAUUUGGGAUUGUGAGAAAGAUUGCAUUACUUGCGGUACUACGGCUUCGUUUGGGAUUGUGAGAAAGAUUACAUUACUUGCGGUGAGAAAGUGUAAUAAAAAAAUAUCUUGUUUGUUUCCGUACGUUAUAUUACAUUACAUAUACGAUAUAUUUUUGUGGGGUCCCACUGGAGAACGUUACUUGCGAUGAGAAAGUGUGAUGAAAAAAUAUCUUGUUUGUUUCCGUACAUUAUAUUACGUUCCACAUAUCACAAUUAGUCGGCUACGAUAUAUUUUUUAUGUGGUUUUAUCGGAGAACGCAGAAGCAUACCCUUAUAUGCUUUUAUCCCAACUUCAUUUUAUCUAAUAGCGUUAGAUAGACCUCAAUACUAAACUAAGCCUACAUCAUCGAUCAGUAACAAGUCAAUCAUAUCUCUAUUCUUAAAAAAAAGGGUUAAAUAUCUCUAUUCUUAAAAACAAGGGUUAAAUGCAUUCAUGUCCCUGCAAACAUAAUGAAUUACAAAUAUAUCCCUAUAAAGUUCAACUUUUAUAUAUUGUUCCUGUAAAAAUUCUAAUAUUUUUAAAUAUGUUCCUUUGGUUUGUUAUCGUUAUAGAACUGUUUAUAUUUUAAGUGAAAUAUCAAUUUUGCUAUCACAAAAAAUGUCUCUCCAAAAAUCGCAACAAAAAUGUUAAGUUAUCUUAUAAAUUAAUUAGAGUAAGCAUUUAACCUACGGUUACUAACGGAAUCUAACGGUAGAAACAUAUUUAAAAAUAUUAGAAUUUUUAUAAAGACAACAUAUGAAAGUUGAACUUUGUAGAGAUGUAUUUAUAAUUUAUUAUAUUUGUAGCGGUUUGUAUAAAAUUAACCCAAAGAAAAGUAUAGUAAAAAUAUUUUUCUAUUAACUAUAAGG